UUUCUUCGGAAUGAAACCAGAUAUGACUUAGUGGCGGACGGGUGAGUAACACGUGAGCAACCUGCCUUUCAGAGGGGAUAACGUUUGGAAACGAACGCUAAUACCGCAUAACGUAUACGGAUGGCAUCGUCUGUAUACCAAAGGAGGAAUCCGCUGAAAGAUGGGCUCGCGUCCGAUUAGCUAGAUGGUGAGGUAACGGCCCACCAUGGCGACGAUCGGUAGCCGGACUGAGAGGUUGACCGGCCACAUUGGGACUGAGACACGGCCCAGACUCC
RNAcentral lists this ribosomal RNA (275 nucleotides) under uncultured Oscillospiraceae bacterium. RNAcentral describes it as "partial 16S ribosomal RNA". It matches the Rfam family "Bacterial small subunit ribosomal RNA", at positions 73 to 339 of the family's 1533-position model. The record is from RNAcentral. Lineage: Bacteria; Bacillati; Bacillota; Clostridia; Eubacteriales; Oscillospiraceae.